RNAcentral lists this ribosomal RNA (433 nucleotides) under uncultured bacterium. RNAcentral's name for it is "partial 16S ribosomal RNA". It matches the Rfam family "Bacterial small subunit ribosomal RNA", at positions 29 to 507 of the family's 1533-position model. The record is from RNAcentral.
AACGAACGCUGGCGGCAUGCCUAACACAUGCAAGUCGAACGAGAACUCCGGGUCUAGUGGCGCACGGGUGCGUAACGCGUGGGAAGCUGCCCUUAGGUUCGGAAUAACUCCCCGAAAGGGGUGCUAAUACCGGAUAAUGUCUUCGGACCAAAGAUUUAUCGCCUUUGGAUGGGCCCGCGUUGGAUUAGCUAGUUGGUAGGGUAAAAGCCUACCAAGGCGACGAUCCAUAGCUGGUCUGAGAGGCUGAUCAGCCACACUGGGACUGAGACACGGCCCAGACUCCUACGGGAGGCAGCAGUGGGUAAUAUUGGACAAUGGGCGAAAGCCUGAUCCAGCAAUGCCGCGUGAGUGAUGAAGGCCUUAGGGUUGUAAAGCUCUUUUACCCGGGAUGAUAAUGACAGUACCGGGUGAAUAAGCUCCGGCUAACUCCGUG